UGUCGAGGUGGCUUCGCGGAAGGUGAAGCGGAGAGGAGGACUAAGCGUGUCGAAGAAGGGAAAAGCGGCAUUUUUGUGGGGCUGCAGUGGGAGGUAUGGGAUUGGGAUCUUUGUCUGCAGGUAGAGGUGGGGCCGCGCGCGGGCUGACGAGCCCCGUCGCCGCUACCCCUCCGCCUUCCUCGCGGCGGACCGCCGGUUCCGCCGGAGCCCGGCGUCCCAGUUCGAGCUGGAGAAGGAGCUAGGAAGGGGGCCCCUCCGUAGAUACUUUCUCCCUCAUCCUCUCCUUUUGGCACCCGUCGUUUGACCACAAGGGUGAAGUGGUAGAAGCAGUCUAUUCUUCCUUUUAGGAGAUCGCAACGAACCCGUUAUAUCACUACUACUUCUUCUCCUACUUCAUCGUUGUCUAGUUGGGUAACCACUUUGAUUCCCCUCGGGUUGUCUACGUUCACGACUCCAAUAAGUACUAGUCCCACUAUAUUGACCCCUAUUGCCGCUACGUCUAUCACUUGACGGACGAAGACAAUCACAAGUCGUCCUCCAUAGAGUUCGACUACUACAGUUUUAAUAGUGUCUUUGGCAACGAGUCCUUAAAUGACAACGGGGACUAGGUUGAGACCUUUUACUCACACACUGUCGUUACCUUCGACAGGGUCUAAGUAGACCGUACGUUUAACAACCACUGUAACCACCCUUAACCUUCCGAUAUUACGUACUUGUCUCAUUAGUCACGAUGAUGACCUUGUGUCAAUGUCCUCUUUGAAGAACCCUCUAAGGAUUACCUAAUCGAAGUCAUCAACGACGGCUACCUCAGUGAAGACGUAGACACGGAUGAGUAUACCCCAUGAGACAGCUUCGAGUUCGUGUACAGGAAGGGGUGUCAUUACAGCUUCGUAUAGGAUCACUGCACAGACAACCUUUACCGUGUCGUUGGAUAUGACGAUACCCUUGAAUAUGAGUACUAGGAAUACGAAUGUGACCUCGGCAACGAUCAGUACUCUGUCACCUGUAACUGGGGAACGUCGAACGUUUUAUACCACUCCUAAAUGACGUUUCUGACUUCGACGACCUUUCCGGUGUACAACGGUAACUGUCAGAACUCAACUAUUUUUCUCUUUAACUCUAUGCUUAUCGUCUGACAUUACGGGAGAGGAGCAUACCUAGAAGAAAUGAAGGCAACACCAACGUACGACUCCACGUGGAAUUCGUUGAUCUUGAAAGUCAAAGGUUCAAACUUCGAUCGAUGUGGUGGUUUGUACCUAUAGCCCUCUGUCACCUACGUCCUGUGUUUCGUGGAUUACUUCGACUUCAAUACCGUGGGAGACUCCCACUCGUAAACUUCCAACUACAAUCGUGAGACCCUUAUCCAUGACCGCUACUUUUAUAAUUCCAACUCCUUGGUACAUGUUGUAGUAGACAAGUCUUGAGUGUUCCACACCGUCGUCGAUAAAAUUCUCAACUUAGUCUAUCACUACUUCUAUACCUGCACCUUUACCUCCAGCUACUUCUUCCACAACUUCUCGUCCCGCCAAGGUGAAGAUACCGUUUAUUCCUCGUAGGAAGUAGUCUCGUUCACGCUAGUGGUCGAAACAGUAGUAACCUCCUAAGACGAGGAGGGGGUGUCCUAUUACUGUAAGGAGGUGGUGGUGGUGGUCUUCUCCUUACCUAAGGUGGAGGUGGUGGACUCUUACUUGGUCGAGGAGGUGGAGGAGGACUCGGACUUCUCGGGCGACACAGUAAACAAUUACGACUAUGUGAAGGAGUCGGUAUACCUCUAGUUCGUUUGAACCCAAUAUGCGAAGGUCCUUACCUCAUGAUAGGACGACGACCAUGUCUACCGUGGUUACGGUUGAUGAUAUACGUUCGUUCGCUAAGAGUAUAAGAAGUUAGUGUCGUCGUAAGAAUGAUACGUGGUAACAGACGUUCACCGCAUAGAUAAGGACAACUCUGGUGUAGGUAGGGGGGUCAUGGUCCAAGAAUAAUAUCGAUAGGAAGGCAGUGAUACCGACGGUGACUUCAUCGCCGACUUAGAAGACCUAUGAUACGAAGUAGUUGGAGACGGUAAAGAUCACCACUUAAUCUAUUGUUUUGUUCGAACCGGAGGGAACAACGUUUAUCAUUACACUUAUGACACCUCAGACUAUUUCACUAUAGGUUCCUCGGGUGUCAACGCAGAAACUCGGUUAGUCAUCCUCGUCAUAGAAGUCCUGGUUGUCAUGUACCUUCAAGAUGAGUUCGAAGAUGAUCGAGGUGAUUAGUCUGAUUUCAAGGAGCAUGAUUCUUCGCUGGACAACGACAACGUAGUAGUGACUCUAGAUUAUUCUUCCAGAGUUCAGACCACCUAUUCACCUUUCGACGUUUCCUCCUCGAAGCACUACUUCUCCUUCUCCUCGGACUUCUACGAAACCUCAUGGAUCUUUCCUUUGCGGCCUUCCUUUAUCUACCCACCGCAUUCGUUGUUUAUCGAUCACCUCUUCGGUUCCUUUUACGAUUAAAACAAGGGGAACCACCACUGACCGCACUGGCACAUUUUGCGUUUUCUCGACUUCGUUUCUUCCUUCGUUUCUGACUUGGAUAAGCACGUCGACGGCUUGUUGUGUUUCCCCUCGGACUAGAGAGUCUCGAGAGGUUCCCAAAAGGAAGACCCACCGUCCGUAUGUAUCUGCUCAGAUGCUUCGUUCACAUGAUACCCUUGUUGGAGUGAAGGCUCUGCUGAACCCUAGCCGGAUCGUUUAUUUCUAACCUAAUCAACUUCUACCAGAUCAAAACGAGACAUCUAUAGGGACAUGGAGCUAUAUAUGCAACGGACAGAACUUACCUUGCCUAUACUGUCAGUGCGGGACUCUUCGUUGGCCAAAGACUACAAUGGAACCAAAACUCCGACAUAACAAAGAAGAUAAAAGGUGACCCUCUAGCAUCACCCCUCCUCUCAAGCAAAACCAUAUCUCCGUGGGAACAUUCUCACCGUUGAACUCUAGCUUAAUGACUUCGUUUUAGAUGAUCAAUCAACGACUGGUUCCUUUUUACACGGAACAAUUCACCACCCUCAGAAGUGGACCUAGACUGUAGCAAACGAAAGUUUUGUUACAGUUGAUAUAAGUUAAAAUCCAACACGAUUUAUGAUCUCUGAAGAGG
RNAcentral lists this ribosomal RNA (3132 nucleotides) under Triticum aestivum (bread wheat). Its description in RNAcentral is "partial small subunit ribosomal RNA". Lineage: Eukaryota; Viridiplantae; Streptophyta; Magnoliopsida; Poales; Poaceae. The record is from RNAcentral.